AUUGAACGCUGGCGGCAUGCCUUACACAUGCAAGUCGAACGGUAACGGGCCUUCGGGUGCCGACGAGUGGCGAACGGGUGAGUAAUACAUCGGAACGUGCCCGAUCGUGGGGGAUAACGAGGCGAAAGCUUUGCUAAUACCGCAUACGAUCUACGGAUGACAGCAGGGGACCGCAAGGCCUUGCGCGGACGGAGCGGCCGAUGGCAGAUUAGGUAGUUGGUGGGAUAAAAGCUUACCAAGCCGACGAUCUGUAGCUGGUCUGAGAGGAUGAUCAGCCACACUGGGACUGAGACACGGCCCAGACUCCUACGGGAGGCAGCAGUGGGGAAUUUUGGACAAUGGGCGCAAGCCUGAUCCAGCCAUGCCGCGUGCAGGAUGAGGGCCUUCGGGUUGUAAACUGCUUUUGUACGGAACGAAAAGCCUUCUUUUAAUACAGGAGGGUCAUGACGGUACCGUAAGAAUAAGCACCGGCUAACUACGUG
RNAcentral lists this ribosomal RNA (482 nucleotides) under uncultured bacterium. Its description in RNAcentral is "partial 16S ribosomal RNA". It matches the Rfam family "Bacterial small subunit ribosomal RNA", at positions 30 to 507 of the family's 1533-position model. The record is from RNAcentral.